This 612-nucleotide long non-coding RNA is filed under the name Salmo salar (Atlantic salmon). Its description in RNAcentral is "lncRNA (ENSSSAG00000102106.1)". Lineage: Eukaryota; Metazoa; Chordata; Actinopteri; Salmoniformes; Salmonidae. The record is from RNAcentral.
GGCUGAUCCCCAGUCUACAUGGAGUAGAUUACUGAGUAGUUUGGUUCAUCAGGCUGACCUCCAGUCUUCAUGGAGGAGAUUACUGAGUAGUUUGGUUCAUCAGGCUGACCUCCAGUCUUCAUGGAGGAGAUUACUGAGUAGUUUGGUUCAUCAGGCUGACCUCCAGUCUUCAUGGAGAUUACUGAGUAGUUUGGUUCAUCAGGCUGACCCCCAGUCUUCAUGGAGGAGAUUACUGAGUAGUUUGGUUCAUCAGGCUGACCUCCAGUCUUCAUGGAGGAGAUUACUGAGUAGUUUGGUUCAUCAGGCUGACCUCCAGUCUUCAUGGAGGAGAUUACUGAGUAGUUUGGUUCAUCAGGCUGACCUCCAGUCUUCAUGGAGGAGAUUACUGAGUAGUUUGGUUCAUCAGGCUGAUCCCCAGUCUUCAUGGAGGAGAUUACUGAGUAGUUUGGUUCAUCAGGCUGAUCCCCAGUCUUCAUGGAGGAGAUUACUGAGUAGUUUGGUUCAUCAGGCUGACCUCCAGUCUUCAUGGAGGAGAUUACUGAGUAGUUUGGUUCAUCAGGCUGAUCCCCAGUCUUCAUGGAGGAGAUUACUGAGUAGUUUGGUUCAUCAGGC